This 114-nucleotide ribosomal RNA is filed under the name Fasciola hepatica (liver fluke). The record is from RNAcentral. Lineage: Eukaryota; Metazoa; Platyhelminthes; Trematoda; Plagiorchiida; Fasciolidae.
GUGAUCGUACUGCGUUGGAAACACCGGUUUCUGUCUGAUCACCAAAGUUGAGCAACGUCGGAUCUGGCUAGUACUUGCAUAGGUGACUGGCUGGGAUUACCAGGUGUUGCGGUC